Long non-coding RNA from Electrophorus electricus (electric eel), 3021 nucleotides. RefSeq lists it as uncharacterized. The record is from RefSeq and is a predicted model, not a curated record. Lineage: Eukaryota; Metazoa; Chordata; Actinopteri; Gymnotiformes; Gymnotidae.
AUAUCCAUAAUCCAUAAUGUUCUGAAAACAAGGUUUACAACAAUCGUGACGACACCAACAAUAAUAAUAGGUAGACUCGCCUGGAAUCGCAUAAUUUGAAGGAAAUUGUAUUGCAAAGGGCAUAACUGUUAACUGUUUGCUAUAGUGUUAAUAUUCAGAUAAUGGUUUGCUAUAGUAUUAAUAUUCAGAUAAUGUAAUCGCUAGCUCUGACCGAAACACAACAACCAGCGCUGGAAUGUUUUUACUGUGGAGCGUGCGGAGCGGAGAAGAAUGUUUCAGCCACGCCCACUUCCCCGGACAUCCAAUCCUCAACGAGCAGCAGUUUCAAGGCGCCCCACCAAACGCCAUCGAAAGCAAAACAAUGGCUGAAGAAAUAAUUUAAUUGCGCUUUCUCGUCGCAAACCUCACUUCAGAUACACAUAGAUGUAUAAAACAAGCAAGUUCGGCAAAUUUGUAUGGUGCAAUCGCUUUUGGAUGCAGCCCAGUCAUGGGGUUGUUUAUCAGUAGUAAGGGGAACUUGAAACCGCCCACCUUGCCCCGUGUCCUCGGUUGUUUUCCUUCUCGCGCCUGGAUUCUCCAUGUUGUCGAAGCAAAAAAAGCUCAGUGCAGCUUUGGCUGUACUAGAGGGGGCUGUGCAUAAAUGUAAGGGACGAGAAAGCAAAUUAGGUCGCCUAGCCAAGAGAAUAGCCGAUAAGAGAAAACAAAACGGUGUCAUGCCCCUCCCAUGUAGAUGAGAAUAGAAGGCGGGAAUAAGUCAGCUAAAUAUCAGGAAUUAAUUUCUUCUUGUUUUUUUAUUAUCGCAGACGGAACGGAGAUUAUUUAAGUAGGCUUGCCGUCGGUUAUUUUAAUAUAGCAAAAAUGCCGACCUACUGUUCGAGUUUGCAAAAUGGACUGGAUGUUGAGGGCUGUGCGUUUGUUAGAUGGAAACUUCGAUCAUCACCCAAGUACAGAGGACGUUGUCGAAAACAAGUCAGGUAACUGGCUUGAACCCGAAAAGCCUAGAAGUUUUGGAACGUCUUCUAAGAACUCUGAUUACGACCACAAGCUUCCCUGUAGCAAGCUGCACCUUCCCAUGAUGCCCUGCUAACACCCGAGGACAACUGGACCGUUGCCAAGGUCCCAGGUGAAAGACUCGUGCCGACAAUGACCUCUCAGGACCAGGGCAAAAGUCUGCGUGGCCACAAGCCUGAAUGAGAUAAGGAGUCUGUUUAAGCACAUAAGCACUGCAAGUUUCACUGUGCCUGUUGGGAGACUAAGGGGACCAAACCAGGUGUAUGUGGCUAUGUGGAUGAGUUCCUACAGAGGACAAUCGAACUGUCAGUGUGUAUCAGGCAGCCUUUUUAACUACACUCACAUGCCAAAAGUCAUUGGAGUAUGUAGAGUGAAGCGGCAUUAACUCGGAGGACGGCUUGGGAACGCACACACCUGUAUAAGUUGUGAGGUGUUAUUUUCGCUGGCCAACGUGUUCACGGCAAGGCGGCAUGAAUUGUCGUAGUUCGGACAAGGCCUGGUAGUGAGUGCCAGACAGAUGGGACAUUCCUUUUCCAAAGUUGUGUGGGCAUUUAACAUUCCUCGAGCCACAGUGUCAUGUUGCUAACUGGACCCUAGAGGACCUGCGACAUGUGGCGCAGUCCGAUGAGUCGUGGCACCAGUUGUUUCAGGCUGGUGGUGGGAUUCAUGUGUGGGUGUAGACCCCAUGAAGCCAUGGACCUCAGUUGUCAACAAGGCACUGUGCAGGGAGGUGGAGGUUCCUUACUGGUCUUGGAGGGUGUUCUCAUGGCAUGGGUUUGGUCCAUUUCUGGUGCCCACUGCAUUUCGCUGAUUGGUGACCAUUUGCAUCCAUUCAUGGACUUCAUUUACACCCAGAAUGAUGGGAUAUUCCAGCAGAAUAAUAUGCCUUUUGCCAGUUGCUUCAAGGGGCAUUCUUGGUUAAAGGUCCAUUCCGCAACAGAUAUCCUGCACCUACAAAUACCACAGAGCUGUGGGUGGCUGUCCAGACCGCACGGCUCAACCUCCCUCCAGACGUCUUCUGUCCAUGCUGAGCUGCUGCACUUCUACGGGCUAGAGUGGCACCUACACAAUAUUUAGUCCCUGUCUCAUGACUUUUGGCACAUCAGUGUAGAACAAUUGCACAUCCUUACAGGACUGGAUGGAACACUAAGUAAAUGUUAAGUUUAGCUGACCCCCAUUGUAAGCAAGUAAUUUGGGGUCACCCAGUUAAUUUCCUGGAGUGCCUCAAUUCCUCUUUGAAAUUGAGUCCAAACCUUCACCUGUGUGAAGAACAUGAAUGUCCACCUGACCGUACCAUGCUUUUCCCUGCUGUGGCUCUUCCACCACCCCCCUUUUCAUGCAGUAUAAGUCUCUGGUCUCCAGUAUAAGACCAGAUGCAUCAGUUUAUAUAGCUUGGUGCGUGCUGGCAAAAGGACAGCCAAAUAGGGUUAGGGCAAAAACAUUUUGGCAGGUCAGAUCCAUCGUGGCAUUAACUGGAACUAGAUCUAGAAAUAAUUAGAACUAGAUCUAGAACUAACUAGAACUAGAUCUAGAACUAGAUCUAGAUCUAGAACUAACUAGAACUGGAACUAGAUCUAGAACUAACUAGAACUAGAACUAGAUCUAGAACUAACUAGAACUAGAACUAACUAUAUCUAUACAUAUUCACCCAGAAGUAGUCCACAUGACAGACUGUUGAGUGCUGCUGUGGUUGAAAUGUUUGGAACAUCUGAGGAUCAGAUAUUUUUUUUGAGAAGACCGCGGCAUGCAGAAUAUAAUAUUACAGCAAUAUUGGGACCAAAUAAUGGGAAAUCCUUAGAAUGUUUGUAUCUAGUAAAAUAUCUAUAACAACCACUCAGCAAAUUUCACCAACGGAUGUCUUAUGUUGUCUCUGACAUGAGUGCUCGGCAAAUUGUUUGUGUAUGUUUUACUGUAUUUGUAAGUUACAUGUACUCUGAAUCAAAUGUUGUACGCUGGCAUCUAAUUCAACAUAUAAACUUGGAUCAUUCAAAUCUACCACAAAAGUGUCCA